Molecule: ribosomal RNA, 464 nt
Filed under: Vreelandella stevensii
Lineage: Bacteria; Pseudomonadati; Pseudomonadota; Gammaproteobacteria; Oceanospirillales; Halomonadaceae
Description: partial 16S ribosomal RNA
Rfam family: Bacterial small subunit ribosomal RNA
Source: RNAcentral
CCUAUGGGGGCAGCAGUGGGGAAUAUUGGACAAUGGGCGAAAGCCUGAUCCAGCCAUGCCGCGUGUGUGAAGAAGGCCUUCGGGUUGUAAAGCACUUUCAGUGGGGAAGAAAGCCUUGGGGCUAAUACCCUCGAGGAAGGACAUCACCCACAGAAGAAGCACCGGCUAACUCCGUGCCAGCAGCCGCGGUAAUACGGAGGGUGCGAGCGUUAAUCGGAAUUACUGGGCGUAAAGCGCGCGUAGGCGGUCUGAUAAGCCGGUUGUGAAAGCCCCGGGCUCAACCUGGGAACGGCAUCCGGAACUGUCAGGCUAGAGUGCAGGAGAGGAAGGUAGAAUUCCCGGUGUAGCGGUGAAAUGCGUAGAGAUCGGGAGGAAUACCAGUGGCGAAGGCGGCCUUCUGGACUGACACUGACGCUGAGGUGCGAAAGCGUGGGUAGCAAACAGGAUUAGAUACCCUUGUAGUC